CCUCACUAGAUCGAGUAGGUGAGGGUCGCCCUCGUCGGAUCUGGUGAGGGCGAGACCCUCGCUACCCUUGCCCAGGUCACGAGGGUCUUGCCCUCGCUUGUGGCUGGUGAGGGCCACGACGCUCUCAUUGGCCCCUACCUGUAGUCAAUCGCCGGCCACAAUCUGUGAUCUCGAACACUUGACUAAGUUCUUAUCGUUGCUCAGAUUCAGUUGGAUGGGUGAGAAGUGCCAUGCAUUUGUAUCCUUCUCUCAAGCGGCUGCAGCACUGGUCUCCAUGCCUCCGUGACCCACCUCCGUCGCGUCUCUCUUCCCCUUGCUCAGGUCUGAGCUCAUCUCCAUCUCUCUCCGGCUUCGUUUCUCUCUUUCUCGGUCUUCAUCGUCUCUCUCCGGCCCCGACUGUGGAUCCUCGCGGCUUCCAGCUUCAAUGCCACGCCUCUGCCACCUCAAUAUUAGGCCGACCAAGUUGCCUGACCAAGGAUAGAGGCUGAUCAGGAAUGGUUUGGCGGCAUGUCAUUGGUACGCGACCAACCAGGUCUUCCCUGCUGCGAUUCCAUCUUCUUCUGAUUUAGCUUCUUGAUUGCAGAGACAGAUGGCUGCGGCAUUGAGAACAACCUCUACCCGUUUGUCCACCUCAAUGUUAACGGCAAUCUAUUCAUUUUACCCGAGCAAGGGGCUCCUCUGUGUUGUUUCCGCUGAAGACUACUCUGCACAAUUCACGAGAAUUGCUGAAGCUGAAGUCAUGGUCUGUGGCGGAGCUGAAGUUUGAAGUUGGGCGGCGUUGUUUGAAUCCUUCUUAUUGUCUGUCUGGACUUUGGUGACCUGAUGCUACGCAUCUUGCUUUUCUGUAAUUGAAAGCAAAACUUUUCCAUUUUUGGGCUCAUAGGAGAUUGAAAGAACAAGGUUGACUUUGGUUCUUCAUCUUUUGUUGAAGAACAAGUUUGAGAUUAUCCCUAUGUUGAGUUGAAGGAUGAUAUUUCUCCCCUACUCUAUCUGUGACCUUCAUGAGUUUUCCAGUUUCCUUGUAACUACAAUGUUAAAGAUGGAUUUGAAUGAAGAUUGGAAGGUCAUAGAUUAGAUUGCUGAAUGAGUUCAGAGUUUUCUAGAGCUUGGA
Long non-coding RNA from Eucalyptus grandis, 1111 nucleotides. RefSeq lists it as uncharacterized. NCBI's taxonomy places the organism in Eukaryota, Viridiplantae, Streptophyta, Magnoliopsida, Myrtales, Myrtaceae. The transcript is spliced from 2 exons. The record is from RefSeq and is a predicted model, not a curated record.